Long non-coding RNA from Drosophila busckii, 1073 nucleotides. RefSeq lists it as uncharacterized. The transcript has 4 exons. Lineage: Eukaryota; Metazoa; Arthropoda; Insecta; Diptera; Drosophilidae. The record is from RefSeq and is a predicted model, not a curated record.
UUUCAGCUGCACAGCUGUUUCGUAGUCUGGAGCUGGACGAUAGGUGGGCAGCAUUGCUUUGAGACGCUCACGCUCAUGUGUGUCCGCAUAACUAAAUAGAAUAUGGCUGCUCCUGAUGCUGUCACUGGAACAAUUAACCUUGCUGUGACCCAUGGUGCAAGUAAUUUUGCAAAUGGAACUGGAGCUCAACAGCGGAAACAGCCAUCAACCAACACAGAAUCAAGAUGCCGACUCCCAGGAACACAAAAAGCAAAAGAAGGACCUCGAGCUUGACAUAAUUCUGACUUCAUUGAAUUAGUGAACUAUUGUUUUAAUUUGGAGAGUUUAGUGAAUCUGUUCUUAUAAUUUAAUUCCAAAUUGAACUAUUAUCCAUUUGAAAGAAAUCAGUUCAUGUUUUUAUAUACAAAGUGCUUCUGCAAAUGGAACUGGAGCUCAACAGCGGAAACAGAUUAGUACAGCUGGAAUAUGCCCAAGAUGCCCACUUCAAGGAAUACAAAAGGCAGAAGAAGGACCUCGAGAAGCAGAGGGCGCUGAUCUCAAGGAUAAGCAGUACAGCAGCCGCUUGUGAGCGUACGAUUCUAUAGUUUAUUAUAUAUAGUAGCAUUAAAUCACACUGACUGAAUCAUUGUUAAACAGCAAUAGCUAAUCCCUUGGGAGCUAUUUCAUUUCAUUUCUUCUUUUCUGCUUUAUUGAACUAUUUUCAUUUGAAAAAAUGCUGUUAAUUUUUUUGUAUUUCAUAUAUAUUUUUUAUAUUUAUUUUUGUUUAUAAAAACGUGCACGUACUAUAAUUUAACAAUAACAAGAAGCGUAUUCCUUGGAAUAGGCGUCUUGGGCAUAUUCCACCUAACUUGCGCAGCUGGAAUAUGCCCACAUUUUCAUAUGAAAAAAUUCUGUUAAUUUUUUGUAUUUCAUAUAUAUACUUUUUAUAUUUAAUUUUUUUAUAAAAACGUGCACAUACUAUAAUUUAACAACAACAAGAAGCUUAUUCCUUGCAAUAGGCUUCUUGGGCAUAUUCCACCUAACUUGCGCAGCUGGAAUAUGCCCACAUUUUUAUAUGAAUAAAUUCUGUUAAU